GUGGGUUGCUUUGAAGAUUUUGAGGAUUAGCGGCGUCAGGUCCAUUUCUAUGGGUCCCUCUGAGUCGAGUUCCUGUGGAUUCAGGAAUGGAUCGUCCAUGGACGUCUCUCCCGUCAGGUCCAUUUUGCGGCCUUUGCCCAAAACACACCGUUCGAUUGUAAAUUUGCCUAGUACCAUUACAAUUCUCGGGUCAUUUGCUGAAACACCCCGCCCGUCCAAAAAGAAAAAGUGAGUCGACAUUUGGCGCGCUACCUCGAACCGUGUACUCUGUAUACAAAACAGAGUUUGCCCAACUGAAAAAGGAUACAGUUACGUAUACCACGUCGACAUGGGUAUAUUGUACAACAGUAAUACUGACUUUUACUAGUUACUACAUGGUGUGCGCCCACAUUCCACAGUCAGAGUUUUUUCCCUUGGCACUGCAUUUGGAGCAAUAAUCCAUAAUCCAGCAAGUAAAAACCUUGAUCAUAUAUGCACGCAUGCUUGGUUCGAUUCAGUCUUCAGAAUUUCAGAUGGCACAUCUCGGCAACGAGAAAACUUUGCUGUAACUAGUGCUGAAUAGGGACAUAUAGUGCUGAACUUUUAUACCGUCUGGUGUCAAGCUGAAGCCUCCAGAGGAGUGUGGGAGAGAGCAAACGGCAAUUAGAUCUAGAUUCUGCAGCUAUAAAUGUAAUGUGCACACUAACUAACUUGCUUGUACUUUUUUUUUCGAAAAGGGGAAGCGAUCCCGGCAUCUGCAUCAAUUGAUGCACGCAGCCAACUUGCUUGUAUUGUCGAUAGCAAUAGCCCUAUGACAUAUGACAAGAAGCCGCAAGAUACAAUACUUGUGAUUAUUUUCAUUAGAGAAAAAAAACUACUCAAAACAUCCAUCCCAAGCAAAAAAAAACGUUAUGAGCACACAAAAAUGUUAGCUUUUCCUUUUUGGACGGGCGGUGUGUUUUAGCAAAUGGCCCGAGUAUUGUAAUGGUACUGGGCAAAUCCACAAUCGGGCGGUGUGUUUGGACAAAGCCCGCAAAAUAAUGGUAUCCUGUGACCAAUUUCCCCUAUUUAAAUUGGAAAGGUAAUUUUUGCUCUGAUUAUUUUACUGAUUUGAAGUGUUUGUAAUAUGUCAGCAACUUUGAAAGAAAGAGCAGCAAUGAUCCAUUCCCAGUUAAGGAGGCCAUACCUGCAAGCAGCAGCGAAAUCAAUCAAUAAAAAGGUGGUAGAUCAAUCAAUAAAAAUGUGGUAGAGUAAUUUAGCAUCAAAUCUUCAAAAUUGUAGUAUAGGCCUGGGCCUCCUUUAGCAGAAUAAAAAUGCCAUUUUCUUAUUUACUCUAGCCAUCCUGUUAUGCACAGCUUUUAUUAGGAUAAGAAUUCUGAACCACAAAUUUGUCCUAGAGAUUGUCCUCGGAGAUGCCUCUUCAGCUAGCCUCAGAUACACUCUUACGAAUGCUGAGAGAGCGGGUGCACCGUCAUCGCCAAGGGCAGGCAAACAUAUUUAAUUCGUGGGCUUAACUUGACUUUUUUUUAUCAAACUUUGGAUUUAGGUGAGAUAUGAGAUUCUGACAUGCCGAUUCCAUUCCUCUAUUUUUCUUCGUGUGUGGUAGUUCAUAAUUUAUCUCAUGAAACAAAACUUGGUGCACGAUUGACGAGAUUGGAGGAGAAAUCAAGGCUCGUGACAGUUUUGGUGUU
Long non-coding RNA from Brachypodium distachyon (stiff brome), 1670 nucleotides. RefSeq lists it as uncharacterized. Lineage: Eukaryota; Viridiplantae; Streptophyta; Magnoliopsida; Poales; Poaceae. The transcript has 2 exons. The record is from RefSeq and is a predicted model, not a curated record.